UGCCUAAUGAUAUAGAGCUGC
Molecule: non-coding RNA, 21 nt
Filed under: Arabidopsis thaliana (thale cress)
Lineage: Eukaryota; Viridiplantae; Streptophyta; Magnoliopsida; Brassicales; Brassicaceae
Source: RNAcentral